This 208-nucleotide ribosomal RNA is filed under the name uncultured Pseudonocardineae bacterium. RNAcentral's name for it is "partial 16S ribosomal RNA". It matches the Rfam family "Bacterial small subunit ribosomal RNA", at positions 568 to 774 of the family's 1533-position model. The record is from RNAcentral. Lineage: Bacteria; Bacillati; Actinomycetota; Actinomycetes; Pseudonocardiales.
CUCGUAGGCGGUGUGUCGCGUCGGUCGUGAAAACUUGGGGCUUAACCCUGAGCUUGCGGUCGAUACGGGCAUCACUUGAGUUCGGCAGGGGAGACUGGAAUUCCUGGUGUAGCGGUGAAAUGCGCAGAUAUCAGGAGGAACACCGGUGGCGAAGGCGGGUCUCUGGGCCGAUACUGACGCUGAGGAGCGAAAGCGUGGGGAGCGAACA